This is a long non-coding RNA of Lingula anatina, 451 nucleotides long. Lineage: Eukaryota; Metazoa; Brachiopoda; Lingulata; Lingulida; Lingulidae. The record is from RefSeq and is a predicted model, not a curated record.
CAGGAGUGAUAGAGAGUAGUGGUCGCAAAAAUGAAGCAAAGAAUGAAUCCCCAUGUACAGGAGAAAAAUCGGUAAAAGCGGCAAUGGAUCCUUCGCAAAAUCAAAAAAUUGCAGGGAAGGCAGCACGGAUUCAGCCCAUUCCCAAAGAGCUGACACAACUGCCAGAAAAAGAUCUCAAUGACCUCGUGAAUGGUUUUGUUGAGUCAGCAAUAAACCGUAUUCACUUGCGGUAUGUACAAGUACAUCAUAAGACUUCAGACACAUAAGAAGUGUCCUAUAUUGAACUGACUUUACUCAUUUAUCAAACAAUUCGAAUUUUACGCGCCGAAAAGCUUAAAUCAAUGUUGCAUCCUGUAGUCUAUAUUUUUCCAUACAAAAUUUUGUCUGAUAAUGUAGUAAUUUUUUAAAAAAAAUCUUUGUAUAAAAAGUAACACAAAUAAAAUCGUCACAG